Long non-coding RNA from Frieseomelitta varia, 1261 nucleotides. RefSeq lists it as uncharacterized. The transcript has 2 exons. The record is from RefSeq and is a predicted model, not a curated record. NCBI's taxonomy places the organism in Eukaryota, Metazoa, Arthropoda, Insecta, Hymenoptera, Apidae.
UUAACAAUAAAAAGAAAGAAGAAUAAGCUGUUCUUCGAUUUGGGAUUUUUCGAAAAUACCGAGGAGAGGCAGCUGCCCUGUACAUUCCAGAAAAAAAGACAGAGACGAGAAAAUCGAGCGUUAUCGCUCGAGCUCAUGGCUGGAUGUAACGAUUGGACGCAAUGUAAAUGCGAUUCUGGGAAUCACGGUCGUCUCGCAGUUGUAUCGCGUUGCAGGCUUUGCGUAACGCGCGCGUCUGACUCAUUGGCAAAUAAAAUCACGAGCGAGCAAUUAUUUAUGUUCCGCGUGGUUCAACAAAAUCACACCGUUCCGUGUAACAUUCUUCGCUCGUGGUGAUAUAUAAUAAUAAUAUAAAUAAAAUAAAUUCGUAUCGACUGCGUAUAAAAUUUAAUAAUGAACGACGAUGAUAGGUAUGGAGUAAAGGAUGAUCUUCAACAAAUGUGAAAACAGAUGACACAUUGAUGAGAAAUUUGUUGGCUGAUCCGUGUUUAAUUAAGUUUGGUCGAUGUCUGAUUCAUCGUGGUACUUUCACAGACAGUUGAUGGAAACGUUCGGGCAAACAGGGAGUAUUGUCAUUUUCACUUCAGUAGAUGGUUUUCACAUUAUUAAUUGUUUAUACCGUUCAAAAGUGAAGAUUUAGUAAUUCACGGGAUUGGAAAUGGGAAUAUUUUUACAGACUGGCUGGUUUAUUUUCCAUUCGUUUAAUGUACAACACGAUUCGAAUAAUCAUCGAUCAGCAUAUCAACAUGGACAUAAAUAACGCACUGCUACACAUGUGUGCAUGACAUACCGAGUAAUUUAUCCUUUAUGUAACCUGCACUACGCGAUAAUGCCCAUUAAUCUUCAGAGGAAAAACUGGAUAUAUAUUCAAGAGACGUUGAAUAUGUAAUAAUAAUUGUAGAACACUUUGAAAACACAGUCCCGUGUGUGUUGAAAUUGCAUCGCAGGCUUUUGUGCGUUUACGAGAAACGUUUGCGACACGCGCAUUUAAAGAAAAUAAAUAAAUAAAUGGUGAUAUUAAGAUUAAAACGAAAAGAAUAAUAAUAAUGAACUAAUAAAAGUAAACUGGAAAUGUGAUUUUUUGUAAAAACUGACAACCUAGAUGGUCACAACGUCUGGACACCAAGUUCGGCGAUGAAUGAAGAAGAGAACCGAGGUUUCUCUCAAUCUUUUAUUAUGAAAAAAAAAAAAAAACUCUUAUGUACAUAUGGAUCACUUUUCUUCGCGCCAGUGUAUAAGUAAAUGUCUAUGUACGUCAUAA